RNAcentral lists this ribosomal RNA (91 nucleotides) under Streptomyces sp. cf124. Its description in RNAcentral is "23S rRNA. Bacterial LSU". It matches the Rfam family "Bacterial large subunit ribosomal RNA", at positions 2834 to 2925 of the family's 2925-position model. The record is from RNAcentral. Lineage: Bacteria; Bacillati; Actinomycetota; Actinomycetes; Kitasatosporales; Streptomycetaceae.
CUCCCAGUAGACGACUGGGUUGAUAGGCCAGAUAUGGAAGCCUGGUAACGGGUGGAGUUGACUGGUACUAAUAGGCCGAGGGCUUGUCCUC